UUGGGUAUGGCGACAUGGUACCUGGGACAGUGAUGGGCAAGAUAGUAGGAGGCAUAUGCUCUCUGAGUGGUGUCUUGGUUAUCGCCCUGCCCGUUCCUGUAAGUCGUUUAAA
Steinernema glaseri is the source of this 112-nucleotide non-coding RNA. NCBI's taxonomy places the organism in Eukaryota, Metazoa, Nematoda, Chromadorea, Rhabditida, Steinernematidae. The record is from Rfam.